This is a long non-coding RNA of Acipenser ruthenus (sterlet), 329 nucleotides long. RefSeq lists it as uncharacterized. Lineage: Eukaryota; Metazoa; Chordata; Actinopteri; Acipenseriformes; Acipenseridae. The transcript is spliced from 3 exons. The record is from RefSeq and is a predicted model, not a curated record.
GGUCUGCUACCUGUAGGGGUGGGAAAUAUAAUCUUCAUCUUGUAAGAAGAAAGAGCAGCCCCAAUCGUAAGAUCUUUAGGCUAAAAGUAUAGUUUAAUCAGGUGCCUUCUCUGAGUAUUAGCCUGAAGAUUACGUGGACAAAGAGCGUCUAACUGAACUGGAAUGCUCAGUGGGCCCCUUCCGAUGCCUGCAAUUGUAAGAUUCCCCCGAGAUGGAAGGAAAUGCAUAGGAGCACUGCACCAAACUGCCCACAGGUCACAGAGAACAGAACCAGGGGCCAUGGGUACAAGCUGAAGAAGGGCAUAUUCCAAACUGAGGGGAGAAGGAGC